Molecule: long non-coding RNA, 5408 nt
Filed under: Homo sapiens (human)
Lineage: Eukaryota; Metazoa; Chordata; Mammalia; Primates; Hominidae
Description: HSALNT0056375
Source: RNAcentral
CUCGUAUUUAGCACCUCCCCUGGAAUAGUGGGAUGAUGCUGCUUUGUUGCCCUGCAAGUACAAGAAGAAAAUUCCGUCAGGGCCAUUUAUCAUACCUUUCUCACAAUCAGCAAAGCUCGAGUUGUCUACAUCUGUGCCCCAGUCCAAAGACAUAGAAAAUAUGUGGUCUUUGGAGUCAGACAGGGUGGAGUUAGAUUCUGGGCUUCCCCAGGAUCUCAUAGCAUCUACAACACUGUUAGUUACAAGAUGUGCUAUUAUUUUAUGGGCUACUAAGCAGAAAAAUGCUGCCAACGAGACCGUGACUUACCAGUGAUUGUAAGGUGUAUUCCAACUUCAGAGAUGGCAAAAUGAAAAAUAAUUCCUUAGAAUAGAGGGAGACGGUAAUUUCUGUGUUGUUGGUGGUGAAUUUGUGCAUGUGUGUUUUUUAUAUAUAUACAUAUAUAUAUAUAUAUAUAUAUACACACACAUAUACGUGUAUAUAUGUGUAUAUAUAGACAUACCUAUAUACAUAUACAUAUAUAUGUGUAUAUAUGGUGCUGCAGUGGUACAAUCAUAGCUCGUUGCACCCUUGAACUCCUGGGUUUAAGCGAUCCUCCCACCUCAGCCUCUUGAGUAGCUGGGGCCACAGGCAUGUACCACCAUACAUAUAUAUAUAUAUAUAUAUAUAUAUAUUUUUUUUUUUUUUUUUUUUUUUUUUUUUUUUGUGACACGGUGUCACUCUCUCACCUAGGCUGGAGUGCAGUGGCACGAUCUCAGCUCACUGCAACUUCUGACUCCUGGGUCCAAGCAAUUGUCCUGCCUCAGUCUCCCAAGUAGCUGGGAUUAUAGACACGUGCCACUAUGCCCAGCUAAGUUUUGUAUUUUUAGUUGAGAUAGAGUUUUGUCAUGUUGGCCAGGCUGGUUUCGAACCCCUGGGCUGAAGUGAUCCACCUGCCUUGGCCUCCCAAAGUGCUGGGAUUACAUGUGUGAGCCACCGCACCUAGCCCUAAUUUUUUUUUUUUUUUUUUUUUUUUUUGUAGAGAUGAGGUCUCGCUAAUUUGCCCAGGCUGGUCCUGAACUCCUGGGUUCAACUAAUUCUCCUGCCUCAGCCUCUCAAAGUGCUGGGAUUACAGGCAUGAGACACCACGCCAGGCUGGUGGUGAGUUUUAAAAUUUUCCAGUGCCUCAGUGUUUCUACCUGUAGAAUGCCAAAAAGUAGAUGGCAUCUUUGCGAGGAUGAAGCCGACUAGCUUUUUUUAAUUUUUUUUUGAGACAGAAUUUCUCUCUUGUCACCCAGGCUGGAGUGCAAUGGUGUGAUCUUGGCUCACUGCAACCUCUGCCUCCUGGAUUCAAGUGAUUCUCCUCUCUCAGCCUCCAAGUAGCUGGGAUUACAAAGCCAGCUAGCUUUAAGAUACAGUGUUGGGCAUCACAUUUUGGCACGGAGCAGGCACUCUUUUCUUUGCCCUCAGGUGGGACUUAGCCACCACAAGCCUUCCCUGGUGUGUGCAGUGGGUGAUGAAUGCUUGCCUGCUCAGCACCCACUACAUGGUGGGCUGGGUCACAUUACUCUGACUCCCCCUUGAGCUUCAGUCCGUGCCUGGUUCAAGAUGUAUUGACUCAACUCGAGGAUCCAGAGGUGGGAUGUGGCUCUGGCCUGGCCAGAGGACCGAAGAUGCUGCAUGCCAUGGCUACAGCAACUGGUUCAGCUUUGGGCUCAUGUCCUAGUCAGAGCCAAUGAGAUGUAAUCUUGGGAUAUCUGCUGGGCUGUUGGGAAGGGGACAGGCUGCCCUGCUCAUCCCCAUUCCUGAUGCUGAGGGAUCUGAGAAAAUCACUUGUAAAAUUCGGGGGUGUUUGGAAGAUGGGGAGACUGAUGUCUCCUUCUCUCUACAGACAUCUGAUCAGCUACAGAGCUUGACUGACCUACCCAGAGGCAGAAUGAUAUGGUGGUUAAAAGUGUGCCCUGGGCCGAGAUCUUGCCACUGCACUCCAGCCUGGGUGACAGAGUGAGACUCCAUCUCAAAAGAAAAAAAAAAGUGUGCUCUGGGCUGGUCGCAGGAGUUUAUGACUGUAAUCCCAGCAGUUUGGGAGGCUGAGGCAGGAGGAUCGCUUGAAGUCAGGAGUUUGAGAUCAGACCCUAUCUCUAGAAAAAUGUUUUAAAAAUUAGCUGGGUUGGUGGUGAAUGCCUGUAGUCCCAGCUACUCAGGAGGCUGAGGCGGGAAGAUUGCUGGAGCCCGGGAGUUCAAGGCUGCAGUGAGCCAUGAUCAGGCCACUGCACUCCAGUUUGAGGGACAGAGAGAGACCCCAUCUCCCUAAAGCACAAAAAAGUGUGCUCUGGUGCCACACUGCCUGGUUAGAUCCUUUGUCCACCACUUAGAUGCAUGUUAUAUAAAUGCUCUCCUCAGUUUCCUCAUCUGUAACUUGGGGAUGAUAAUGCUGCCCCAUUAAGUGGUUAUGGGGACUAAAUUCAUGUGGGCGCAUUGGUAAGUAUUCAACAAGCUUGAUUUUUUCCUGGAGAGGGAGAAAGAGCAUACAGUGAAGUGGCAUGCUCAGGUGCAUUGGGGCAAGGAUUAUUUCCUCUGGCUUCUGCCUCCUGGGAGGUACUAAGGAUGGAUCUGAAAUGUGUCUGCAGACCCCAGAGUUGGGGACUGCAGAGGGAAAUUGAGAUCAGGGACCCCAGUCUGGCAGAAAUGGGUGCAGCAUGGGGCAUUGGGUUCCUUCCAUCAGAGGCAUGGGGUGUGUUGCAGACAGUCAUGAGAUGUGGCUGAAUCUUGCAAGGGAGCUGCAGUCCUAGGGUUGCUGCUUGAGACAAUGACCGCUGUCAGUGGAACCUGGUGACCUUCACCCUUCUCUGUCAGGCUGCAGACAGCAAGAGAUGGCAGGAGGUUACACCCAACAGGAAAAGGGCCAUUGCUAUCCCACAGGUUGCCAUAGGAGGAGAUGACAUCUCUUCCCUCUCCUCCUCCAGCAGUGUCAGCUGGGGAAGAGGUGGGUGGGGGUGCACAAAAGAGUAGACCACAGACCAUGCUCCUUCUCCUCCAGUCUGCUGGGGCCCCAAGAGAGUCUGCAGCCCUUGGCCAGGGACCGGCUGAUACAGGAGAACAAAAGAUCUCAGUCUGGGAUAACAUGGUGGUGCAGCUGAUCCUCUGGAACUCCCUGUGAGAUCAGACUGGAGCCAGUCUCCAGCUGAGACCACAUCUCACUUAGCUCCUUCCCUGCCAUAUCCUGUUUUCCUUACUCCUAUCUACUGAGAGUCCUGAAUGAAUUACAUGCACUCAAUCCCUGCCUCAGGCUCUGCUUUUAGGGAACUUGACCUAAGACAGAUAUCUUAGUACUAAAUACUUUGCAAGGCCUCAGAAGCUCUGCUAUCCACAGGCAGGUGAGAUAUUACCUUCCCUACCACCUGGCAGUCAUAGUCUAUGAUGCGAUUCAGCUUUGUGGAAGUGCUUCUGUAAAGAACUUCCCCCAACUUAAGAUGAUCUUAAUUUGCUUACUUGUUUACUGUCCAUUUAGCUGCUGUAAAAUGUGAGCUCCAAAUCAGUGGUCAUGUCUGGUUAGUUACCCAUUUCCUGGGACCUAGAACGGGCCUAGCUCAGAGCAUGUGCUCACUAUUGAUGGAAUGCAUGUUGAAAGAACGCAUGAAUCUCAUCUCCUUUUGUGGGUGAAAAACUCAUCCUAUUCUCACUCCUGAUUAACUUUCCUUCUUUUUUUUUUUUUUUUUUUUUUUCAAAACGGAGCCAUGAUCUGUCACCCAGGCUGGAGUGCAAUGGUGUGAUCUCAUCUCGCUGCAACCUCUGCCUUCUGGAUUAAAGCAAUUCUCCUGCCUCAGCCUCCCGGGUAUCUGGGAUUACAGUUGCACGCCACCACACCUGGCUAAUUUUUUGUAUUUUUAAUAGAGACAGGGUUUCACCAUGUUGGCCAGGCUUGUCUUGAACUCCUGACGUCGUGAUCUGCCUGCUUUGGCCUCCCAAAGUCCUGGGAUUACAGGCAUGAGCCACCGUACCCAGCCACUCUUGAUUAACUUAAUGGAAAUAUUUACAGAGAUUCUUUCUCUUCUGGGUUCUAGCGUCUUAUCUGUAACCUCUGCAGGGGAGUCACUGAGCAGAACGAAGCGAGUUGCCUGAGAUUCUUCAAAGCCCCAGCCCUUUUGGAGGUUACAUUGUUAUUCUCAGAGCCUUUAUGAUGCAUAAUAAAGACCUAGCUUGUACCAAUAUUAGGAUGAGUUAUCUUGCUAUUAACAUUCUUUUAGGUAGAAGUUGCUGGUCCCAUCUUGCUCACAAUCCUCCAAAGUUUGAAAGUUAUUUUCCAGGAGACUUGGCUUGCACUGAGAGCUGCCCUCCCACUCUCUCUCCAAAUUUCCUCUUCGGAGUAGCCUAACAAGGUGCUGUCACAGACCCUUGUCAGCCACGAUGACCCCACCCAGACCAUCCCUCUGCUGUUUCACUCUUUGAUACUCUCUGGAGCUCUCUGGGGAGGGGUGAGACCUGCCGUCUUCUUUGUACGGUUUGCCCAGGUCUUACAGUCAUGGCUGGCUGCCUCUCUCUGAGAACUGGGACUCCUGAACUUGGUGAAAUACCUCAGCCAUCGAUCAUGUUGAAUUAUUGGGAACACUCAUUUAAAAUCCGAGCCUGUUCCAGAUAGACUCUCUCUCUUUCUGCCCUGACUGUGAGAGAAGCCCUGCUGGAUGGUGGAGAUGCUCGUGGGCUGUGAGCAAGGGAUGCAAAGGCUGCCGGGAAUCCCAUCUUUCCAGCAUCAUCUGCUAAGUCACAUUAGUUCCUGGGUAUCUGGAUGGGUUCUAGCAGCAUUACUGUCAUUGAAGGAAAAAUGAUAGCCAUAUUAAAGGUUAAUGCAGCAAUCUCCACAUAGGCUGCCUUGAAGGGACGCAGGACAAGGGUAGGUUUUCCUUGUGAUGGACAGGAGGCAGGCGGCCCUCCCACAGCCCUGCCUGGCAAUGCAGGUGUGUCCCCAAAAGGCACUGGGGGCCAGCUGGAGUGCUAUGCCGAGGCGGGCUGACCUGGGCCGUGGGUUCGCUGAUUGCAGCGGUUUCCUGCCAGCUCCUUGGAGAGCUGGCAGAUGGCCCAGCCCCACAGCAGGAGCCGCGAAUGGCAGAGCGACAUACAACAAUUUGAUAUCCACUUGCCAGAGGAGCCGGGUGUCAUCAGUCGCCUGGAUCUGUGCCCAACUUCUUUUUGCAUAAACACUUAUGAAUUCAGCCAAGAGGAAAAGCACUCUGAUUAUGAAUUGAGCAGAAGGAAACAAAGUUCUGCAGAUAAACACCAAUGAGACAAAAAAACACAAAUAAGAAAAAUGACAGAAAAGAAGAACCUUCCCAGAAGCCUCCUGCCAGUGAACGGCCACCAUAGCAAGAGCAUGGAGGCCCUGGGUUUUGAACUGUGAGAUAAGGAAGAUGAUGAAAACCUCCCUAGCAGCCAG